Molecule: long non-coding RNA, 873 nt
Organism: Mesoplodon densirostris (Blainville's beaked whale)
Lineage: Eukaryota; Metazoa; Chordata; Mammalia; Artiodactyla; Ziphiidae
Exons: 4
Source: RefSeq, a predicted model, not a curated record
GAGGCACUGCACGGAAGCAUCUGAACACAGUGUGGGCGGUAGCAGCCUCUGGCUCCCCACUUGGGCACCCUCUUCUUCCCCUCACCCUGAGGAAGCAGCUGCCGUGUUGUGAGCUGCUGCAUGAAGACAUCCACGUGGCACUGAAUCCAGCCACAGCCACGUGAGUGAGCUUGAGAGUGGAUCCCCGGCUCCCCCGGUGAACCUUCACACAGGACCACAGCCCUGGUACCAGCUCAACUGUGCCUCAUGAGAGACCUGGACUCAGAGCAUCCAGCCAAGCCUUGGAUUCGUAAUCCACAAAAACUACUAUAGGGAGGGAGGUCUCCUGAGGUCAUGCGGGCAGGGUGCUCACUUGGCUACACUGAACUCAGCGAGGCAGAGAGAAAUAGAAGCAUCUGAGAGAGAUCACGGCGGCAGAAUGAGCCAGUGCUGUUGGCCGGUUGGGUGCAGGCAAUCCCUAUGCAGCCAGCUGGGCCCUUCUGGCUGCUGGGACCACCACCUCCGUGCCAGUAGAGUGGCUCCAGGAUGGAUCAGCUCCCUGACCACUGCAGAGCUGUCCACCCGGGGACAGGAACACAUGGUGGAGAUGGGAGUCUGGAUUGUGUCUUCCAUUAGGGCCAGUUCUUGCCGAGACCUCCCCAGGGCUUACCGGGCACCAGCAGGCGGUAGUUGUGCUGGAAGCUGCAGGCCAGCCGCCGGGUGAGCAACAUGGAGGCCAUGGUCACCUCCACCGGCAACAGAGACCCCUGUCACACGCUCCUGCCCUGAAAGAAAACAGAAGCACAGAGUCACGCCAACAAAGACCACACCCUUGCUGGCCAAGUAUCCCACUCCCCACAGUUUCCCCACACAGUGGAGAAGUUUCUUCUAAUA